AUCGCGAGAUCAGGAGGGUGGCCGAGGGUGUCGCCGCGGCCAUCAGGCACUUCUCCUUCCUGCCAUCAUGUGAAGAAGGAUGUGUUUGCUUCCCCUUCUGCCAUGAUUGUAAGUUUCCUGAGGCCUCCUCAGCCCUGCGGAACUGGCUAGAGCAAUGUAUCUUAGGCUCACUUAAGGAAGCUGUAGAAAUGAGCCCAAGGAGGGAAACCAGAAGAGCCCCCCAGGCUCACCAGUUGUUUGUUGGCUCCCUACAAACAUGUCAUUCAAGUGGCUAAUCUUACAACAGCACAAAUGCAUCUAACCAGAAAGAGAAGAGGAGGCUCCAAAGGCACUUGACUACUGAGCAUCACCCUGGACGUGUACAAGUCUGCGUCCUUAUUGUUUUCUUCAUUGGGCCGAACUUUCUGGUCCUCAUCCAACAGCUCUUCUAUCACAUGUUCGAAAGUGUCAGCCAACGAUGUCAGGCCUCUUGAACCCGCCUUGGGCCCAUUCACGCUCUCCAGAGUCCCAUGGGUCCGCACACCUGGAGAUACUCUAUUAUAGCAAAGAAGAAAGAUAAUUUCAUUGAGCCAUCCUGUUUUACAGGAUUUUCCCUCCUCGUGAGUCAAAAUGAACAAGAAAUACCCCAGGACCUCCCUUCCCUCCUUGGCCAUUAAUGAGAUUAAGGCAAUUAACUCACAUAGUAUAAAUGAAUCAUUUGAGGUGAUGACUGCAUUUUAGGCAAAUGAUGACUUUCUUGGUUCCCUUGGUUUGCAAGUAAAAGUUACACACAUUGAAAAGACACUCUGAAACAGAUUUCCUAAAUGCUUCAUUUUCUGGAUACACCAAGGUUGACCUACUAUACAUGUUAAAUGGUUUUAAAAUAUCAUCUUAAAAUAAACGAAACUUCCAGCUGCUAACUCAGCUCUGAAUGGGCUAUGAAAGGCUCCAAAGGUAUGUGAAAAAUUACUGUUAUUUUGCUUUAAAAAAUGUAAUGUCUAAGAGUGUCUGCAAUGUUCUAAUGCUUCAAAACAUGUACGUAAGCCUUGUUUAUCUGGAAAUCAUUUCUUUCUGCUUAUAUCAUUUAUAAAUAGAAAAUGUUCUGUAAUAAUUUAAAAUAGUUCCACAUACAUAAUGCUUUUCGUGUCAUAAUACUUACUACUGGUCUAUAUUUACCAACAUUUAUCACAUUUUACAAAAUGAAGUAGAAGAAAAAAAAGACAACGACUUUAUGGCCCUGGAAUUCCAGUAACGGUGACCAACAUGUUUUAAAUUCCAGUAAAGGUUAUGGUUACAUUUCAACAA
This 1284-nucleotide non-coding RNA is filed under the name Pongo abelii (Sumatran orangutan). The record is from RNAcentral. Lineage: Eukaryota; Metazoa; Chordata; Mammalia; Primates; Hominidae.